RNAcentral lists this ribosomal RNA (398 nucleotides) under uncultured bacterium. RNAcentral's name for it is "bacterial SSU rRNA". It matches the Rfam family "Bacterial small subunit ribosomal RNA", at positions 358 to 773 of the family's 1533-position model. The record is from RNAcentral.
GGAAUAUUGGACAAUGGGCGAAAGCCUGAUCCAGCCAUGCCGCGUGAGUGACGAAGGCCUUAGGGUUGUAAAGCUCUUUUAGUGGGGAAGAUAAUGACGGUACCCACAGAAAAAGCCCCGGCUAACUUCGUGCCAGCAGCCGCGGUAAUACGAAGGGGGCUAGCGCUGUUCGGAAUUACUGGGCGUGAAGCGCACGUAGGCGGACUAUUAAGUCAGAGGUGAAAUCCCGGGGCUCAACCCCGGAACUGCCUUUGAUACUGGUAGUCUCGAGUCCGAGAGAGGUGAGUGGAACUCCUAGUGUAGAGGUGGAAUUCGUAGAUAUUAGGAAGAACACCAGUGGCGAAGGCGGCUCACUGGCUCGGUACUGACGCUGAGGUGCGAAAGCGUGGGGAGCAAAC